GGAGAUGUACCCAAGUGGUCAAAGGGGGCAGACUGUAAAUCUGCUGCGGUAUCGCUUCGCAGGUUCGAAUCCUGCCAUCUCCACCA
This 86-nucleotide transfer RNA is filed under the name Planctomycetota bacterium. Its description in RNAcentral is "Planctomycetes bacterium tRNA-Tyr". It matches the Rfam family "tRNA". Rfam says of the family: Transfer RNA (tRNA) molecules are approximately 80 nucleotides in length. Their secondary structure includes four short double-helical elements and three loops (D, anti-codon, and T loops). Further hydrogen bonds mediate the characteristic L-shaped molecular structure. tRNAs have two regions of fundamental functional importance: the anti-codon, which is responsible for specific mRNA codon recognition, and the 3' end, to which the tRNAs corresponding amino acid is attached (by aminoacyl-tRNA synthetases). tRNAs cope with the degeneracy of the genetic code in two manners: having more than one tRNA (with a specific anti-codon) for a particular amino acid; and 'wobble' base-pairing, i.e. permitting non-standard base-pairing at the 3rd anti-codon position. RNAcentral also lists the same sequence under 1 other name. Lineage: Bacteria; Pseudomonadati; Planctomycetota. The record is from RNAcentral.